GAAAUGCGAUACGUAAUGUGAAUUGCAGAAUUCAGUGAAUCAUCGAGUCUUUGAACGCACAUUGCGCCCCCUGGUAUUCCGGGGGGCAUGCCUGUCCGAGCGUCAUUGCUGCCCUCAAGCACGGCUUGUGUGUUGGGCCCCCGUCCCCCCCCCCAAGGGGACGGGCCCGAAAGGCAGCGGCGGCACCGUGUCCGGUCCUCGAGCGUAUGGGAAGCAACUUUUUGUCACCCGCUCCUGUAGGUCCGGCCGGCGGCCUGCCCAACCCCAACCUUUUUUUCAACCAGGUUGACCUCGGAUCAGGUAGGGAUACCCGCUGAACUUAAGC
This 325-nucleotide unclassified non-coding RNA is filed under the name plant metagenome. RNAcentral describes it as "partial contains 5.8S ribosomal RNA, internal transcribed spacer 2, and large subunit ribosomal RNA". The stretch from base 1 to 105 matches the Rfam family "5.8S ribosomal RNA", at positions 50 to 154 of the family's 154-position model. The record is from RNAcentral.